Fulmarus glacialis (Northern fulmar) is the source of this 166-nucleotide non-coding RNA. The record is from Rfam. NCBI's taxonomy places the organism in Eukaryota, Metazoa, Chordata, Aves, Procellariiformes, Procellariidae.
GAGCACUUGAUACUAACCGAGCCAUCCGUAUCCCAGGUCUUGUGCAGAGGUCUGAGGUACACCAUGUGAUUGCUGGGUCUGAAAAGUGCAACAUUAAAACAAGCCAUGAAGUGUUUAAGCUCAGUGUAUAAAGGAUAACACCGGGUUAUAACUCAGAGGCACAGAA